RNAcentral lists this ribosomal RNA (847 nucleotides) under Salmonella enterica. RNAcentral's name for it is "partial 23S ribosomal RNA". It matches the Rfam family "Bacterial large subunit ribosomal RNA", at positions 711 to 1556 of the family's 2925-position model. The record is from RNAcentral. Lineage: Bacteria; Pseudomonadati; Pseudomonadota; Gammaproteobacteria; Enterobacterales; Enterobacteriaceae.
AGACCCGAAACCCGGUGAUCUAGCCAUGGGCAGGUUGAAGGUUGGGUAACACUAACUGGAGGACCGAACCGACUAAUGUUGAAAAAUUAGCGGAUGACCUGUGGCUGGGGGUGAAAGGCCAAUCAAACCGGGAGAUAGCUGGUUCUCCCCGAAAGCUAUUUAGGUAGCGCCUCGUGAAUUCAUCUCCGGGGGUAGAGCACUGUUUCGGCUAGGGGGCCAUCCCGGCUUACCAACCCGAUGCAAACUGCGAAUACCGGAGAAUGUUAUCACGGGAGACACACGGCGGGUGCUAACGUCCGUCGUGAAGAGGGAAACAACCCAGACCGCCAGCUAAGGUCCCAAAGUCAUGGUUAAGUGGGAAACGAUGUGGGAAGGCCCAGACAGCCAGGAUGUUGGCUUAGAAGCAGCCAUCAUUUAAAGAAAGCGUAAUAGCUCACUGGUCGAGUCGGCCUGCGCGGAAGAUGUAACGGGGCUAAACCAUGCACCGAAGCUGCGGCAGCGACGCUUAUGCGUUGUUGGGUAGGGGAGCGUUCUGUAAGCCUGUGAAGGUGUGUCGUGAGGCAUGCUGGAGGUAUCAGAAGUGCGAAUGCUGACAUAAGUAACGAUAAAGCGGGUGAAAAGCCCGCUCGCCGGAAGACCAAGGGUUCCUGUCCAACGUUAAUCGGGGCAGGGUGAGUCGACCCCUAAGGCGAGGCCGAAAGGCGUAGUCGAUGGGAAACGGGUUAAUAUUCCCGUACUUGGUGUUACUGCGAAGGGGGGACGGAGAAGGCUAUGUUGGCCGGGCGACGGUUGUCCCGGUUUAAGCGUGUAGGUGUGUGUUCCAGGUAAAUCCGGUUCACUUUAACAC